UACGUAGGUGGCAAGCGUUGUCCGGAUUUACUGGGCGUAAAGGAUGCGUAGGCGGACAUUUAAGUCAGAUGUGAAAUACCCGAGCUUAACUUGGGUGCUGCAUUUGAAACUGGGUGUCUAGAGUGCAGGAGAGGUAAGUGGAAUUCCUAGUGUAGCGGUGAAAUGCGUAGAGAUUAGGAAGAACACCAGUGGCGAAGGCGACUUACUGGACUGAUAACUGACGCUGAGGCAUGAAAGCGUGGGGAGCAAACAGG
RNAcentral lists this ribosomal RNA (254 nucleotides) under uncultured bacterium. RNAcentral's name for it is "partial 16S ribosomal RNA". It matches the Rfam family "Bacterial small subunit ribosomal RNA", at positions 524 to 776 of the family's 1533-position model. The record is from RNAcentral.